GCCAAUUUUUUUAGGCUUUACAUGUGAAAUGCUUUAUCCGAUCUUCAUGCAAGUUUUUGAUCGAUCGGUUAUAUCUUUUGAUCUUUAUUUGAUAUUCGAACUUUGCAUGCAAGGUUCCUUUCACCUUGAUUAAGUAUUUUAUUUCGGCGGAGAUUGCUAGACUUAUGAACUCCAAUUGUGCCGAGCUCUGUGCAGCAUUCGUUUACAAAAUGCUUGAAUGCAAGCUUUGUAUUUGUCUGUGAUCCUUUGCUAAAAAGCUUUUUGGAUUGCGUUUGGUUAACCCUUGUUCUUGAGCAAAGACAUGUCGCUUACAAUUCUUUAGUUUGGUUGAUCUAUGCUUUGCCCUGUGCUAAGAAUGAGAUUGGAAGAUUUCUCGUUUUUAUGAGAUGCAUUUUGAUUAACUUGAAGCUUCAUAUGUGGUAUCUCGAUGGCGACUCCAGUUGGCUGUGCAUGUGAGUUUUGUUUGUUUUGUUAAACGUCUUCUUAUGCUUCUUCGAUAGCAGACUGUAGCUACCUUUAUUGCUUUAAGAAUGCUAAGUUGCAUUUUGACUAGCAGCUCAUGUUUGGUUUAUGGUAUGAAUGCAACCUUGGUAUAUUGUUAUCUGUGCAACCUUGCAUGGUAUCACAUUAUAUAAGUUUGCCUGUGAUCUAUUUUGUGAGGCAUGUGGUUUUUGAUCCGUACCUUGUUGAUAGAAUGAUUUCAUGCAUGAAUCCAUUAGGAUUAUUGAUCUAUUUGUGCCACCCAUAUAAACAUGCAUGAAGGUUAAGGUUUGUUGCUCUGUUCUUCAUGAUUCUCGCUGAGAUUGUGCAAGUUUGCAAACUGCUUGAUAUUUUGGAAUUUUUGUUUACUUCGACUCUUCAUUACUAUUUGUCCUAUAUCUUGUUAAGCAAUGUCGCUUAUGGGCGAGUUUGUAAGUUGCAUGGCAGAUCUAUUGGGUCAAUUUGUUCUAUACUUCGAUUGUGAAUGAAUGGGAGUCUCUUUCAUGCAGAACAGAUGCUAUACUGAUCUUUAGUUUGCUGAUUUCAAAUUGUCUUUGCUCCUUGAGUCUUUAUGGGUUUAUCUUGUGAUGUUUGUUCUUUAUAUGAGCUAUUCUUGGAUAUAUUGGAACUUCAUCUUUCGAAGAAGUAUAUGUAUGAUAUAUUUGAUUCUUUAAUAUUCAUGCUACACUCCGUGUACAGUUAAUAUGUUCAUCAUGUAUAUGCUUUGCAAUUUGUGGAUUCUUAUAUAUAUGAAUUGCACCUAUACACGAAUGGCAAUAAAAGCAGAAACUAUGCUGAGUUUUCCUUUGAAUAAUAUUUGCCUUUGCAAUGGUCUUAUAUUUAACUACACAUCUGUCCUUGCAUUGCUAUACAUAUACUGAUUGGGAGUUUUCUUUAUGUGAUAUGAACACUCGGCUAUAACGAGUUGGGACUACAACGUUGUAUGAUGUCUUGGCAUUUGCGGAGGAUGGGCUAUGUUUGAGGAAGAAGGACUUUUGUUAAGCUCAAAAAGGGGUAAUAUCUGUCCGCCUCACAUUACUUCCAUGUGUUUAUGACUAUGCUACAGUCUUGUAUGUUUUAUGUGUUGCCUAUGAUCCUGUGAGUUCUUGUGAGGCAAUUUGUUAUAAGGAUACUUUGAAGUUGUGUUGAUGUUUGUUGGCUUAUUUGGACUUUAUGUUGCUGGAGUAUAUAUGGUUCAGGCAUUAAUGUCAUUUGGAUAUGCUUGAAUCUCUCAUGCCUAUGAUCAUUUUUUGUGAGGCAGGCUAAGCCUUGAUACAUAUAUAUAUAGAUGCUGGUUUUGAUAUGAGAUUCGAUACUUGUAUACAUUGCUUAAUUUUUAGCAUCUCUUUGGGGUGCUUUAUGAGAACAUAUAUUGCACUUGCGCUGUCAAUAUUUGGACUGUCAAAUUGGUGUGUCCUUGAGCCUAGAUUUGCAAUUUGUAACACUCUGUUUACACUUUUACAUUUUGGUACUUUGCCUAGUAUAUUUGCUUGUACCAUGGACUUAUGUCUUAUCCUUGGUGGCACUGCUUAUAGGAGUUGAGAUGGCUCUAAAAGAGCAACUCCUCCUAUAAGGGUGUUGCUAGAAGUUAAGUUUGGGACCUUUGCAUUAUAUUUGGCCUUGUGAGAAUGUUGCAUAAAUGCCUUACAACCCUUAGCUGGUUUACCUGAUAAGAACAUUAACGAUGCCUGAUUCUUAGCCUUAGGGUUGCAAUGAUGAAAAAUGUAGUGUUUUAGCUAAGUUUAGUGAAUGAAGAUGAUUGUUAAGUCCUAAGGCUAGGAAGGCAGAAUGCUGCAACCAGACUUAGGACUCAACCUGAGCAUUAAAUGAGAAAUAUAUUAUCAAUUUCUUGCUUUGAAUUUGUUACAUUCAUAUUGCACAAAAUGUUGAGUUUUUGCCAAGCUUAAUCCUUAUAAAAAAUCGUCUAAUGCAUUUUCCGUGGAUUUAUGCGAGGUAAAUACGGCGAUGCAAAGAUCCUAGAUGCAGAACAAGGAUCCGAGAAGCCGGGAUACCGAACAAGGAAGUAGCGAUUCCUGGAUGGAGAACAAAGAGGAGCGGCACAAGCGAGGAUCUGAAGAUCAAUGAUAAAGAGCAGUGCAUCAGAUGAAGUACAUAUUUUGAAGCCGAAUAAAGACGUAGAGAUCCGAGAAGAAGAACAAUGAUGAAAGAGGUGGCGAUGCUGAGACAAUCCAGUCCGUUGAUGAAGUCAGAGAAAAUGAACGGUCUAGAUCUCUUCCUUGGAGGCUACGGUCCUUGGCGUACAAGUAAAGUUCGCGUGCAUCUGACGCUACGGAGGGCUAUAAAUGAGAGAAGUUUGGGGUUGGUGAAAAGAUAUAUUGGGACCAAGGCUCUGCUAAGAGUCUCCCAAUCUCAAAUCUCCCAAUCUCAAAUCUCUCAUUCCUCCUCUCCGUUCAAGACCAGUACUCGAAGUCGAAGAAGCAGUGUCGGCUGUGGGAGUCAAGGAUCAGUAAGCUUCAAGUUUGUCUCCCGAGGUUGUCAGUUCCUUUAAUUCUGCAUUUGUAAUGAGAUUGGGGAUUGUAAUUUCAUUUCUGGGUUUCUGUAAGUUGCAUAACUUGUGAUUUGAUUCGGUUGUACUAAGUAAGAUAUAUUCAGGCUUUGU
RNAcentral lists this unclassified non-coding RNA (3100 nucleotides) under Hevea brasiliensis (rubber tree). Lineage: Eukaryota; Viridiplantae; Streptophyta; Magnoliopsida; Malpighiales; Euphorbiaceae. The record is from RNAcentral.